UAGUAGAGUAAGCUAAGUAAUUAAGCUGUCGGGUUCAUACCCCGAACAUGAAACUAAUGUAUCCUCUAUUAA
This 72-nucleotide transfer RNA is filed under the name Lunella correensis. Its description in RNAcentral is "tRNA-Met". The record is from RNAcentral. Lineage: Eukaryota; Metazoa; Mollusca; Gastropoda; Trochida; Turbinidae.